RNAcentral lists this ribosomal RNA (253 nucleotides) under uncultured microorganism. Its description in RNAcentral is "partial 16S ribosomal RNA". It matches the Rfam family "Bacterial small subunit ribosomal RNA", at positions 524 to 776 of the family's 1533-position model. The record is from RNAcentral.
UACGUAGGGUGCGAGCGUUAAUCGGAUUUACUGGGCGUAAAGCGUGCGCAGGCGGCCCGUUAAGACAGGUGUGAAAUCCCCGGGCUCAACCUGGGAAUGGCAUUUUGAACUGGCAGGCUCGAGUUCUGAAGAGGGUGGUAGAAUUUCCAGUGUAGCGGUGAAAUGCGUAGAUAUCGGGAGGAAGGCCGGUGGUGAAGGCGGCCCCCUGGGCCUGUACUGACGCUCAUGCACGAAAGCGUGGGGAGCAAACAGG